GCUUGUCUCAAAGAUUAAGCCAUGCAUGUCUAAGUAUAAAUGGUAUACAGUGAAACUGCGAAUGGCUCAUUAAAACAGUUAUAGUUUAUUUGGUAUUCGAAUUUACAUGGAUAACCGUGGUAAUUCUAGAGCUAAUACAUGCAUUACGCCUGACUUUUCGGAAGGGCAGUAUUUAUUAGAUAACAGACCAUCUCCCCCAAAGGAAAUGUGGUGAAUCAUAGUAACUUUGCGAAUCGCAUAGCUUUUUAAUGCUGGCGAUGGGUCAUUCAAAUUUCUGCCCUAUCAACUUUCGACGGUAGGAUAGAGGCCUACUGUGGUGAUAACGGGUAACGAAGAAUAAGGGUUCGAUUUCGGAGAGGGAGCCUGAGAAACGGCUACCACAUCCAAGGAAGGCAGCAGG
RNAcentral lists this ribosomal RNA (400 nucleotides) under uncultured fungus. RNAcentral describes it as "partial small subunit ribosomal RNA". It matches the Rfam family "Eukaryotic small subunit ribosomal RNA", at positions 30 to 432 of the family's 1831-position model. Lineage: Eukaryota; Fungi. The record is from RNAcentral.